GGAAUAUUGGUCAAUGGGCGAAAGCCUGAACCAGCAACGCCGCGUGCGCGAUGAAGGCCUUCGGGUCGUAAAGCGCUUUUGGGAGGGAUGAAAAUGACAGUACCUCCCGAAUAAGGAUCGGCUAACUACGUGCCAGCAGCCGCGGUAAGACGUAGGAUCCAAGCGUUAUCCGGAAUUACUGGGCGUAAAGGGCGUGUAGGAGGUUGGGCAAGUCGGCCAUGAAAGCUCCCGGCUCAACUGGGAGAGGCUGGUCGAUACUGCCUGGCUAGAGGGCAAGAGAGGGAGGUGGAAUUCCCGGUGUAGUGGUGAAAUGCGUAGAUAUCGGGAGGAACACCAGUGGCGAAGGCGGCCUCCUGGCUUGUACCUGACUCUGAAACGCGAAAGCAUGGGUAGCAAACAGGAUUAGAAACCCUGGUAGUCCAUGCCAUAAACGAUGUCAACUGGGUGUCGGCGAAGUAAAAUUUGUCGGUGCCGAAGCUAACGCGUUAAGUUGACCGCCUGAGGACUACGAUCGCAAGAUUAAAACUCAAAGGAAUUGACGG
Molecule: ribosomal RNA, 542 nt
Filed under: uncultured bacterium
Lineage: Bacteria
Description: bacterial SSU rRNA
Rfam family: Bacterial small subunit ribosomal RNA
Source: RNAcentral